This is a long non-coding RNA of Papilio polytes (common Mormon), 845 nucleotides long. RefSeq lists it as uncharacterized. Lineage: Eukaryota; Metazoa; Arthropoda; Insecta; Lepidoptera; Papilionidae. The record is from RefSeq and is a predicted model, not a curated record. The transcript is spliced from 3 exons.
GCAAGAGUCGCGGUCGAAAGCUAGUAAUUCAGUAAAAGAAAGCAAUUUUUCCUCGAGUAACGCACACCGGCACGUCUCCUAGAGACGCUAUUUAAUUUGAUUCCAAGGAAAGCUUUCAAAGAACCUUUCAAGACAAGACGGAAUGUUUUCUGCAAAUUACGAUCCGCUGCGCUCCCUUCGAGGCAGAUAGAAAAGGCAAUAAGAAGAAAUAGAGGAGAAAGAAAUGUCGACACCACAAAUAGUAAAAAGAUGCGCUCAUAUCAGUAUUGCGAUUUAAAAAGUCGCGAGGUAAAUAUGAAAACAAUAGAGAUUUCUCACAAUUCCUAUAACUACACGAAAUGCAGACCCAAUCACUCGUCGUCUACGUAGAAACUAGUCUAUUUGUUUGCUUGGAUGGUUCGAUGCGAUCCAAUUACAAGUCUGCUCCGUCAAAGGCAAUACUCAAAGCGCCUUGUCAACUCGACUGCUUCCACCCCGCUGCAUCGGAGCUUGAGAGCUUUGAUUGUUGGAAAUAGACACGGAAAAUGUCUCGCAAAUUAUAUGACGCUCGUAAAUAAAGCUAAGUAUUUGACUUAUAUUAAUUUAAUUGUUAAAUGUUUAGAUGUUUUGAUAAACUUACUGUGUAAUUGAAAUGUUUUAAUUAAAUCGGUAAGAGUUGUAUAAAUUGGUAGUAUUCCAAUGCUGGCUGCCAGUUGGCAAUACCAUCGAAAUAGUUUCAUUACUGCUAAGUUCCUGAUAAUGACUAUAAAAGUUUUCCUAAACCUAUUACAUCGUCCUAUUAAACAGAAUGUAUACUCAGUGGUUACUCCUAAUUCGGAUAAUAAAUGUUUAACCGACGACUAAUU